UAGGGACGACGAACGGAAGGAGAGAGAACAAUUCACCUGUAAAUAGCUCCGGCAUCAAUCCUCCGGAAACUCUCCCGCUGCUCAAGUAACUUCCGUGAUCCAACGGCUGAGUUAACUCAAAGCCUGAUUUAAAGUUAAAAAGCAGAUGUAUAAUAAAUUAUAAAAAGCUGCAUAAUCUCAAAACCAUUUUUAUCUUGCUCUAAUGCGGAAGUUUAUUUUUAAAACGGUGCUAUAUUCCUCAUGCUAAAAAAGAAUCUAAUCUAUUAAUUUAGGGUUCUAUUUUUAUCUACCAUUAGUAAGUCAUAGUAGGACCACCUAAAGAAAUAGUUAAUAUGACAUAUUUGAUUAUUUACAUUAAUAAUAAACCAACUAUAAAUUUGAAUUUUAUUUUUUAAUUAUAACAAAAUCUGUUGAGUAAAAUCUAACAAAAUCUUCUUUAAAAUUUAAAUAUUUUUAUAAAAUAACAUAUUAAUUAAUUUCGUAAUUAAUAAUAUAAUAUUGUUAUAAAUCAAUGUUAACUAAUUUUUUUUUAUAAAAAAGAAAUAAAAAUUAUAUACUAUUUUUAAUAAAUUAUAUAAUUAGAUUCUGUAUUAUAUAAAAAUAGAAGUUUUAUAAGAUUUAAAAAUUAUAAAAUUAUAUUAAAUAGGCAAAUUAACAAUUUUUUUAUUGUUUCAUUUAAAUAAAUUAUCAAUCAUCAUUAAAAUUAGUUAAAAUUCGUAAACUAUAUAAUAUUUUUAUACAAAAAAUAAAUUUAUUAAGAUAUGUUAAACUUUUAUAUCUACAACUAUAUAUUAUCUUUUAUUUACUUUGAAACUCUCGACAAUAUUUUUUUGAAAAGUUUAUAUACAAAGAUAUAAUAUUAUAUAAUAACUUUUAAUUCAUAUAUUAUUUUAAAAUAUGUUAUUAGAAUGUUAUUAGAAAACUAUGAAAUUUUAGUAGUUCAAAUCAAAUUUUAAUUGUAACUUUUUCUUAAUUAUAACAAAAUCUAUUGAGAAAAUUUAGAAAAUAUCACCAAAAAUUUAAAUAUUUUUUAUUAUAAAUUAGUGUAUUAAUGUAGUAACAAAAACAAAUUCAAAAUGUAAUCUUCCAAACUCAAAUAUAGUACUGUAAUUUUUCAAAGUUUACUUGACAAAAUAUAAAUUUUGAAAAUAAAUAUUCAAACUCGAAAUGAUAAUAUUUCAAAUUUUACAAAAUAUUAAAUCACAGAUAAUAAAGAAUAACUUUUUGAAAUGCACCACGGAAAAAACAAACUAUAUAUGUUGUAAAAAUUAAAGCAAUCGAAUAUUUUGAAAAUAUAAUUAAAAAAAAACUUAAUAUCAUAGCAUCCAAAAAAUAUCUUAUAUCAAUAAAAUUUAGUAAAAUAAUAUGAUAGAUGCUACUAUGUAUAAAAUUUACUAAAAUAAUAGGGCUAUGUGUUCCAAAAAAAACAAUAGGGCUAUAAUAUUUAAACAAUUUGUUUUUACUUAAAUUCUGUAAAAUACUAAAAUAAUAUAUAUUAAACUCAAAAAUAAUAUUGAAGGAGGUUUUCUAUUUGAUUAUUUCAUAUUGUUAUUUUAUUGUAUCUAACUCAAAAAUAUAUAAGUAAGAAAUAAACAUUAAUAGCAAAGUAAAAUAUAUUAAAAAUCACUACAUAUGAAUAAUGCUGAAUAAAAAAAUAUAAACAAUAAUAUUAUAGAGUUACAUAAUAUAUAAUACUAAAAUAAAAAUUUAUAUUUAAAAUAUUUGUAAUAAUAUCUAAUGCAUUAUAAAAUGAAAAAAAUAUCCGCACGAACGUGCGGGUUAAAAUCUAGUUGUAAAAUUAAGAUAAAGUAUGGAACUUUGUUGUACCUUCAUAGACAAGAUCAGAGUUUGUGUACUUGUGUUCUUGUCUGAAAGUACAGGUUUAGAUUUUAAAAGUCUUUGCUUUUCUUCAGCCUGAAGAACCC
This 1925-nucleotide long non-coding RNA is filed under the name Brassica rapa (field mustard). RNAcentral describes it as "long non-coding RNA (BRAP_LNC001650)". Lineage: Eukaryota; Viridiplantae; Streptophyta; Magnoliopsida; Brassicales; Brassicaceae. The record is from RNAcentral.